UGGACAAAUUAUUGUAUUCAACUGUAUCACGACGUGAAAUAGGGGAUUACACUGUUUUUAAACGAAAAGUGAAUCAGUUAACAUAAUAGACUCCU
Nicotiana attenuata is the source of this 95-nucleotide microRNA precursor. It matches the Rfam family "MIR6152 microRNA precursor family". The record is from Rfam. NCBI's taxonomy places the organism in Eukaryota, Viridiplantae, Streptophyta, Magnoliopsida, Solanales, Solanaceae.